This is a long non-coding RNA of Rhincodon typus (whale shark), 523 nucleotides long. RefSeq lists it as uncharacterized. The transcript has 2 exons. The record is from RefSeq and is a predicted model, not a curated record. Lineage: Eukaryota; Metazoa; Chordata; Chondrichthyes; Orectolobiformes; Rhincodontidae.
UAACGGCGAGGAGGAGGAGCAAAACAUGGCGGGAGGGUGCGGCGUUUUCGGGAACUUCCUCUCCUGAGCCGGCCCGUGGAGCAGCGCACCCUCCGAACGGCCAAUCGCUGACUUCUCUUUCGGACUUCUAGCCAGUAGCUGAGCAUCAGUCCCGUCCGCCCCGCCCCCCAACAAAAAAAGAAGGGUCCGCGCGACUGAUUUGGCAACGGUAACUAGAACAGACAUGAUGGGCAGACCGGACUCCUCCUGCGCCGUUUCAGUUCCAUGGUUCUUGUCGAGUCCGCCAGCGGGAAGCGGAGAAAACGGUGGAUAUGUUGGGACUUCAGGAGUGAGGCACCCAGGAUUUCCGGUGAUUGUCUUGACAUGGUCUGAAUCUAUGCCACAACACGGUGGAAAUGGAUGACAGCACAUCAGGAAAUUAGACUGGGCUAAUGAGCGGCAAUGUGAUCCCACAUUGAGCCAUGACAUAUCCUAAAUUGGGCAGUGUGCUCAUAAAAUAAAUAAAAUGGUGUGGACAAUUUCA